GCAUGUUUUUGAUGCCAAAGGAGCAAUCCGCUUUUAGAUGAGCUCGCGUCUGAUUAGCUGGUUGGCGGGGUAACGGCCCACCAAGGCGACGAUCAGUAGCCGGACUGAGAGGUUGAACGGCCACAUUGGAACUGAGACACGGCCCAGACUCCUACGGGAGGCAGCAGUGGGGAAUAUUGCGCAAUGGGGGAAACCCUGACGCAGCAACGCCGCGUGAUUGAAGAAGGCCUUCGGGUUGUAAAGAUCUUUAAUCAGGGACGAAACAAAUGACGGUACCUGAAGAGCAAGCUCCGGCUAACUACGUGCCAGCAGCCGCGGUAAUACGUAGGGAGCAAGCGUUAUCCGGAUUUACUGGGUGUAAAGGGCGCGCAGGCGGGCCGGUAAGUUGGAAGUGAAAUCUAUGGGCUUAACCCAUAAACUGCUUUCAAAACUGCUGGUCUUGAGUGAUGGAGAGGCAGGCGGAAUUCCGUGUGUAGCGGUGAAAUGCGUAGAUAUACGGAGGAACACCAGUGGCGAAGGCGGCCUGCUGGACAUUAACUGACGCUGAGGCGCGAAAGCGUGGGGAGCAACCAGGAUUAGAUACCCUGGUAGUCCACGCCGUAAACGAUGGAUACUAGGUGUGGGAGGUAUUGACCCCUUCCGUGCCG
RNAcentral lists this ribosomal RNA (647 nucleotides) under uncultured bacterium. Its description in RNAcentral is "bacterial SSU rRNA". It matches the Rfam family "Bacterial small subunit ribosomal RNA", at positions 187 to 848 of the family's 1533-position model. The record is from RNAcentral.